CAUAAUGUUAUCUGUUAAUUUUCCGAAAACUAUACUAAUUUGUACAUUUACACAUUUUUUUAUUUAAAAACGCAUUCUCGUAAACUAUUGUAAUUUAUCAUUAAAAUAUGCACGCACAUUAAAAACACUUUGGUACAUACGAAGCACUUAUGUCAUACAGAUAACAAAACAAAACUUAUCGCUGUUACGUGAUUAGUUACAAUUUUCACAUUAUUAAUUAAUAAUCCCGUGGUCAACUAAUAAAGCAUUAGUCAAAUUUAGAAAAUUUGAUGCGUCAGAGAUUUAUCUCCAUUAACAAUUACUCGUACACGUUGUUUGAUCUACUUAUUCUUACAACAAUUUAAUUUUAUCGCCACGUAUAUCCAUGCUUGCAUGUACUUGUUCGACACCAGCUUUAUCUUGGCGCAUCACAGUUAUGUGCACUGCAAUUGCGAUUUCGAUGAAGAAUUUCAUCACAAAUUCCAUUACGAUUAUCGAUUGCAGUCGAUGGUCGCAAUUGCACCACCUACCUGCGCGCGCGCGCUCACAUGCAGAAGGUGUCGAUUACCUGAAGCGAUGGCUUAAAGUCUUAUACCCACGCCUGAUAGGAUAAUAGUGGUUUUUUCGUUAUCGAGGAUUACGGCGGUGCGAUCCGGCCAGACAGGCUGGCAACACGUGUCCCCCUGGGCAAGUGACGUCACUUCUUGUAAACACACACUUUGAAUUCUGCUUUCCUAUGGCGGUCAAUCUUGGCAACGACCACGCACCGCUUCGGCGAUCUUUGAACAUCGUAUAUCCAUUAGAUCCUUCGAUAAUGAAAGGCCAGAGAUUAAUUCGAAAAUAAGAUAUGAUUUGCAUGGUUAUCCCGCGCGCUAAUUUAUUUUUCAGCGGGACCUAAUAGCUGCGACCAAAGAGCGCCAAGCAAGGGGCUUUGUGAAAAAUAAAAGCAGUAGGAAGAAUCCACCAGAAACGUUUCAUUAUCACGAGCUUGUAAAGCACGCCGAAAAUAACGAUUUAUUUGAGGUGUUGAAAGCUUCAUGGAUUUUACAGUCCAUCGCGAGUAUCCGAGUUUCCGAAAGCAACGAUCGCACGCCCGCGCGUUAUGAAUCAGCCGAUCGUAAUUAUUGCGACAACAUCAGAUAGCAGGUUUUCUGCGCCGUCAUUUAUCUACGAAAACAAGGAUCUGGUGCAACGUGCGCGUUUGCGGAUCGGGCCACGGCGCAGACUGCGUCGCAUUAUAUGGGCAUUUUAAUUGCGGCGAUCGUCUUCGUUCUGCAGGCGUUGACAGGUGGCUGACACGGGGAAUAUCCAAGUGUGAUAUAUCCGAUGAACGAGACGCGUGAUGUGUCCAGCACGACGAGAAACGGAGAGCUGGGCAUCCCCGUUAUUACCUGGAAAAGGGUCGACUUUUUGCCGUGCAUGCACUCGCGAUGAUAACGAUCGUGCAGGUGACACAGUUCGGACGUGCCGCGAUUAUGUCAUCGGUCCCUCCGGGAACGUUGCUGCUACGAUUAUACCGCAUCAGGCUUCUCGCCUCGGAUCAGCAUCGAGACACCUGCAAGAGCGUUAUCGGCUCAGCUUACCCUCUUCUCGCUUCCUCCCACCCUCACUGCACGAGCCCUUAUCGACGAUGUUUACUUUAACUGCGUCAUUCAUAGCAAUGCACCUUAGCCGUGCGAACAAUCUCGCCAAGGAGAAUCACCACAUUCUCAUCACGCUUGUGUACAAUGUUACUAAGGAGAAAUUGAUCUGAUAAUUUCAUAUAAUUCGAAAUAUAAAUUGCUGCUAUCAGCACCGCUGAUAAGUAAUUCUUUGGGUUUUUUUUAACGCGUUUUAUGAUUUUUUCGAGGACUUGUAUUAUAAAAAACAGAAAAUGAAAAAGGGAGCUUUUAUGAGCAAAACGAUAGCGAAUGCAAGAGUAAGUUUAUGAUUCAAUGCUGUCUGGCUGUUACAAGAUCGACGUAAUAAUAGAAUCACUAUGGAAAUAAGUUGGUUAGUCAGCCAGUUAAUGCGCUACCUACAACACAAACUUCAUUGCAUCGUGCUAUUAUUAGUCCUAUUCGUAACAUCUUUAUGUUACACGUUUAACUGGAUUACUAAAACCGCACAUUACACGUUUGAUGGCUCAUUUGGCAUCAAAUGGACCAACGAGGAGCGCAUAAACAUAAAUUUUUAAGUUUCUAUGAGAAUCAUUCGAUGUCAGAAUUUAUGUGCCGAGAUGCUGAUUACUUUUUAAAUUAUAUUUUAUUAUAUUAAAAAUGUGCAUGUGUCUGUACGGGUCUCGCUAGUUCACAAAUUGCAGUUAUUACACAAUUGCAGCUGAUCAUUCGAGCUCAAAACAUUCCAGUAUAUUGAGAUCAUUGCUGUAUCGAAUCUGUUCAUCAAUCUUAUCAAUAUCUCCUAUCAAAUGAUUGUCAAACAGGCAUCGUGCGAUUAUUAUUUAUCACCCACCGAGUGUAUGCGUGAGUCAGCUGGCGGGCGUCUGUGUCUACCGCGGAGGAUUUUUUUACACGGAUAAAUACUCGCAAACUCAUUGCUCGAUUCCGACAAGAUCUAUGUUCGUAAUAAAUCGAAGCAGUGUUCGAUGACAACCGAUGCGAAUCCAAUGCAAUUUCUUUUCAUCCGAAUUUACCGAAUUCCGUCCGAAUUUACCGAAUUCCGUUCGAAUUUACCGAAUUUCGUUCGAAUUUACCGAAUUCCGUUCAAAUUUACCGAAUUCCAUCCGAAUUCACCGAAUUCGAAUGAUGCAAAAAUACCAUGGAAACAAUGAACAAUGCCGGACGUCAGCCGAAGAAAUGGAUCCAAGGUUGACAAUUUAUUCGGUCGUACGAACAAUGAGAACGCGAGGAAAGAGGCUUUUUCUCUCCGUUGUUCGUCUAGCAAGUUUACGAAGACACGCUGUGGGCGGUUCACGAAAAGCCACCUGACGUGCCAACCGACUGGUCGUCUUGUUCACGAAGCGGUACUCGAUGUCGCUUGUUAUUUACUCUCCAAACAUCUUAAUAACGCGCACAGGCGCUCCGUCGACCUCAUCCGUCUCCAUCUUGUCAGCUAUUUUUCUCUCACGCUUGUCGACGGAAAUCUGUAUCUCGUGAUAAUAAUCGAGACACGUUCUCUGUGUGAACAUAAUGACUCACCGAUGAAGAAUUUAUCAUUAUCGUCAUAUUAAAGUAUUUGUACAGAUACGUAGGCACUUGUGUCACCACGCGCGAAUUAAGCAAUCUAGACCAGAUUAAGAUAUGUAAAUACGGUUUUAUUAAUCAAAUACCGACCGUGAGAGCUGAUACAAGCUGAAACAGAGAAGGGACACCAAAGAGUACUGAAGAAGCAGUAAAAUCUCCUUCUCCAUCUACCCACACCCAACAAUAUGCUACCACAGUCGGUAUGACGUCAUUGUCGUGACUGCACUCACCCAUCCCGCAUUCCUCGUGUCCCUCCUCCCUUUACGAGUCCAUCCGUGAGUGAUUAUCAAUAUAAAAAUGCGGGCUGAAUUUUGCACGAUAAAUCUGGGGGGAAAGUGAGGAGCCGCGUGCCGCCAGGAAUACCAAUCAGCCGGUCGGACUAGAUGUUUGCUCCCGAUCUGCAUAAAGAUCGAGGCACGCCGAAAAUUAUGCCAAAACGUACCGCUUACGACGGUCCCGUCGCAGCCUCGCGAUCUAUCUCUCUUGCUUCAUUCUGCUCCCUUUCUUUCUUGUCUGUCGAAGGGUGCUUCCAUCGUGACAAGCCCGUCUCUCGAAUAGCAACGAACGUUGGCAUUCGAAAAUUCUGAUAUCUAUACUUUUUGUCACUAAAAACAGGAAAAAAAUGUACAUUGUUCUUCUUUUUACAUUAGACGUUUAUAUCCAUAAGCUUCCUCGCGUAAUUUGAUGAUAAAAUACAAGUGCGUCAUUUGAUAAGAAGGCGGAUUCGUGUAAGAUAUAAUUAAGAUGCAUACGAAUAUCAGUGUGCUCAUUAGUACAUAAGAAGACAUUUAGCAAGUUUCAGCUAAUGACAACGUCAAUAAAUUACGUAAUUGUUUGGUA
Ooceraea biroi (clonal raider ant) is the source of this 4001-nucleotide long non-coding RNA. RefSeq lists it as uncharacterized. The record is from RefSeq and is a predicted model, not a curated record. Lineage: Eukaryota; Metazoa; Arthropoda; Insecta; Hymenoptera; Formicidae.